UCCUUGGUAGCUCAGAUGGUAAAGAAUCUGCCUGCAAUGUAGGAGACCCAGGUUUGAUCCCUGGGUUGGGAA
This 72-nucleotide transfer RNA is filed under the name Bos taurus (domestic cattle). It matches the Rfam family "tRNA". From Rfam's summary of the family: Transfer RNA (tRNA) molecules are approximately 80 nucleotides in length. Their secondary structure includes four short double-helical elements and three loops (D, anti-codon, and T loops). Further hydrogen bonds mediate the characteristic L-shaped molecular structure. tRNAs have two regions of fundamental functional importance: the anti-codon, which is responsible for specific mRNA codon recognition, and the 3' end, to which the tRNAs corresponding amino acid is attached (by aminoacyl-tRNA synthetases). tRNAs cope with the degeneracy of the genetic code in two manners: having more than one tRNA (with a specific anti-codon) for a particular amino acid; and 'wobble' base-pairing, i.e. permitting non-standard base-pairing at the 3rd anti-codon position. RNAcentral also lists the same sequence under 4 other names. Lineage: Eukaryota; Metazoa; Chordata; Mammalia; Artiodactyla; Bovidae. The record is from Rfam by way of RNAcentral.